GCUUAGAGUUUGAUCCUGGCUCAGGAUGAACGCUGGCGGCGUGCUUAACACAUGCAAGUCGAACGAGAAGCCCACUUCGGUGGGUGGAGAGUGGCGCACGGGUGCGUAACACGUAGCUCACCUGCCCUCAAGACGGGGAUAACGGUUGGAAACAGCCGCUAAUACCCGAUAAGCUCCCGCGCUGUAGAGGCGUGCGAGAAAAGCGCUAGCGCUUGAGGAUGGGGCUGCGGUCCAUCAGCUGGAUGGUGAGGUAACGGCUCACCAUGGCAACGACGGAUAGGGGACCUGAGAGGGUGACCCCCCACACUGGCACUGAGACACGGGCCAGACUCCUACGGGAGGCAGCAGUGAGGAAUAUUGCACAAUGGGCGCAAGCCUGAUGCAGCGACGCCGCGUGGGCGAUGAAGGUCUUCGGAUCGUAAAGCCCUUUUCUGCGUGACGAGAACGGACGGUAGCGCAGGAAUAAGUCUCGGCUAACUACGUGCCAGCAGCCGCGGUAAAACGUAGGAGGCGAGCGUUAUCCGGAGUUACUGGGCGUAAAGCGCGUGUAGGCGGUACGGAGGGUCUGAUGUGAAAGCUCCCAGGCUAAACCGGGAGAGGUCAUUGGAAACGGCCGUGCUAGAGGGUGAUAGAGGGGCGUGGAAUUCCGG
RNAcentral lists this ribosomal RNA (650 nucleotides) under uncultured bacterium. Its description in RNAcentral is "bacterial SSU rRNA". It matches the Rfam family "Bacterial small subunit ribosomal RNA", at positions 1 to 672 of the family's 1533-position model. The record is from RNAcentral.